This 457-nucleotide ribosomal RNA is filed under the name Staphylococcus argenteus. RNAcentral's name for it is "partial 23S ribosomal RNA". It matches the Rfam family "Bacterial large subunit ribosomal RNA", at positions 2110 to 2566 of the family's 2925-position model. The record is from RNAcentral. Lineage: Bacteria; Bacillati; Bacillota; Bacilli; Caryophanales; Staphylococcaceae.
CCUGAUAUUGAAAUUCGGCACAGCUUGUACAGGAUAGGUAGGAGCCUUUGAAACGUGAGCGCUAGCUUACGUGGAGGCGCUGGUGGGAUACUACCCUAGCUGUGUUGGCUUUCUAACCCGCACCACUUAUCGUGGUGGGAGACAGUGUCAGGCGGGCAGUUUGACUGGGGCGGUCGCCUCCUAAAAGGUAACGGAGGGGCUCAAAGGUUCCCUCAGAAUGGGUGGAAAUCAUUCAUAGAGUGUAAAGGCAUAAGGGAGCUUGACUGCGAGACCUACAAGUCGAGCAGGGUCGAAAGACGGACUUAGUGAUCCGGUGGUUCCGCAUGGAAGGGCCAUCGCUCAACGGAUAAAAGCUACCCCGGGGAUAACAGGCUUAUCUCCCCCAAGAGUUCACAUCGACGGGGAGGUUUGGCACCUCGAUGUCGGCUCAUCGCAUCCUAGGGCUGUCUCUUUUACA